Molecule: long non-coding RNA, 417 nt
Filed under: Homo sapiens (human)
Lineage: Eukaryota; Metazoa; Chordata; Mammalia; Primates; Hominidae
Description: HSALNT0396658
Source: RNAcentral
GCUCCGCUCCCCCCAGGCCUCAACCCCGCUGGCUACCCGCGCUGAAACCUCACCUGCCGCCGGCUGCAAACGGACUGCGCUCCAGGUUCUGCCAAAACAAGUGAUUGCAACAUAUAAUUGGACCAGCAACUAGAUGAUGUGACUCUUCUCUUCUGCCUGAGCCCUGGAUAUACUGUGUAUUAUGACACAUGGCUGAGUCCAACAUCAAGGUGAUGUGACUGACCACUUCUGCCUGGGCCAUGCCGAAAAAAGGAGAUUGUGACAUAUCACUGCAUUCAAUACCUAGAUGAUGCUCCAUGACAAGUGGCACCAACAACAGGGACUUCAAGGACGUGACGAAGAAGGUCUGCUAGAGCAGAGGAAGUGAAAUUUACCAGAUGAACCGGGACCCCAGGACGAGUCUGUCAGCAGGGAAUA